UAACGCGAAGAACCUUACCAAGGCUUGACAUGGACCGGACCGCCGCAGAAAUGUGGUUUCCCCUUUGGGGCCGGUUCACAGGUGGUGCAUGGUUGUCGUCAGCUCGUGUCGUGAGAUGUUGGGUUAAGUCCCGCAACGAGCGCAACCCUCGUUCCAUGUUGCCAGCGCGUAAUGGCGGGGACUCAUGGGAGACUGCCGGGGUCAACUCGGAGGAAGGUGGGGACGACGUCAAAUCAUCAUGCCCCUUAUGUCUUGGGCUUCACGCAUGCUACAAUGGCCGGUACAAAGGGUUGCGAUACUGUGAGGUGGAGCUAAUCCCAAAAAGCCGGUCUCAGUUCGGAUUGGGGUCUGCAACUCGACCCCAUGAAGUCGGAGUCGCUAGUAAUCGCAGAUCAGCAACGCUGCGGUGAAUACGUUCCCGGGUCUUGUACACACCGA
This 438-nucleotide ribosomal RNA is filed under the name uncultured bacterium. Its description in RNAcentral is "bacterial SSU rRNA". It matches the Rfam family "Bacterial small subunit ribosomal RNA", at positions 957 to 1393 of the family's 1533-position model. The record is from RNAcentral.